GGGUGAGUAACACGUGGAUAACCUACCUAUAAGACUGGGAUAACUUCGGGAAACCAGAGCUAAUACCGGAUAAUAUUUUGAACCGCAUGGUUCAAAAGUGAAAGACGGUCUUGCUGUCACUUAUAGAUGGAUCCGCGCUGCAUUAGCUAGUUGGUAAGGUAACGGCUUACCAAGGCAACGAUGCAUAGCCGACCUGAGAGGGUGAUCGGCCACACUGGAACUGAGACACGGUCCAG
Molecule: ribosomal RNA, 236 nt
Filed under: uncultured Staphylococcus sp.
Lineage: Bacteria; Bacillati; Bacillota; Bacilli; Caryophanales; Staphylococcaceae
Description: partial 16S ribosomal RNA
Rfam family: Bacterial small subunit ribosomal RNA
Source: RNAcentral